This 573-nucleotide ribosomal RNA is filed under the name [Candida] sp. 69036.19.L4A6f.NL1_CUT. RNAcentral's name for it is "eukaryotic LSU rRNA". It matches the Rfam family "Eukaryotic large subunit ribosomal RNA", at positions 77 to 667 of the family's 3401-position model. The record is from RNAcentral. Lineage: Eukaryota; Fungi; Ascomycota; Saccharomycetes; Saccharomycetales. RNAcentral also lists the same sequence under 1 other name.
GCCUUAGUAGCGGCGAGUGAGCGGCAAAAGCUCAAAUUUGAAAUCUGGUACUUUCAGUAUCCGAGUUGUAAUUUGAAGAAGGUAUCUUUGGAUCUGGCUCUUGUUUAUGUUUCUUGGAACAGAACGUCACAGAGGGUGAGAAUCCCGUGCGAUGAGAUGUCACAGAUCUAUGUAAAGUUCCUUCGAAGAGUCGAGUUGUUUGGGAAUGCAGCUCUAAGUGGGUGGUAAAUUCCAUCUAAAGCUAAAUAUUGGCGAGAGACCGAUAGCGAACAAGUACAGUGAUGGAAAGAUGAAAAGAACUUUGAAAAGAGAGUGAAAAAGUACGUGAAAUUGUUGAAAGGGAAGGGCUUGAGAUCAGACUUGGUAUUUUAUAUGUUACUUCUUCGGGGGUAACCUCUAUAGUUUAUCGGGCCAGCAUCGGUUUGAACGGUAGGAUAAUGGUAAAGAAAUGUGGCAUUACUUGUAAUGUGUUAUAGUCUUUAUUGAUACUGCCAGUUUAGACCGAGGACUGCGAUUUUUAAUCUAGGAUGUUGGCAUAAUGAUCUUAAGUCACCCGUCUUGAAACAAAAGACC